This 498-nucleotide ribosomal RNA is filed under the name uncultured bacterium. RNAcentral's name for it is "partial 16S ribosomal RNA". It matches the Rfam family "Bacterial small subunit ribosomal RNA", at positions 30 to 523 of the family's 1533-position model. The record is from RNAcentral.
AUUGAACGCUGGCGGCAUGCCUUACACAUGCAAGUCGAACGGUAACAGGUCUUCGGAUGCUGACGAGUGGCGAACGGGUGAGUAAUACAUCGGAACGUGCCUAGUAGUGGGGGAUAACUACUCGAAAGAGUGGCUAAUACCGCAUGAGAUCUACGGAUGAAAGCAGGGGAUCGCAAGACCUUGUGCUACUAGAGCGGCCGAUGGCAGAUUAGGUAGUUGGUGGGAUAAAAGCUUACCAAGCCGACGUUCUGUAGCUGGUCUGAGAGGACGAUCAGCCAGACUGGGACUGGGAAACGGCCCAGACUCCAACGGGAGGCAGCAGUGGGGAAUUUUGGACAAUGGGCGAAAGCCUGAUCCAGCAAUGCCGCGUGCAGGAUGAAGGCCUUCGGGUUGUAAACUGCUUUUGUACGGAACGAAAAGCCCCGGGUUAAUACCCUGGGGUCAUGACGGUACCGUAAGAAUAAGCACCGGCUAACUACGUGCCAGCAGCCGCCGUAA